GACGAACGCUGACGGUGUGCUUUAGACAUGCAAGUCGAGCGAGAAAGCCCUUCGGGGUUAGUAAAGCGGCGAACGGGUGAGUAACACGUGGGCAAUCUGCCCCUCGCAGGGGGACAACCGGGGGAAACUCCGGCUAAUACCCCGUAAGCUAUGUGGAUCGCAUGGUUCACAUAGGAAAGGUAGCUUCGGCCAUCCGGCGAGGGAUGAGCCCGCGGUACAUUAGCUAGUUGGGUGGGGUAACGGCCUACCAAGGCGGCGAUGUAUAGCUGGUCUGAGAGGAUGAUCAGCCACACUGGGACUGAGACACGGCCCAGACUCCUACGGGAGGCAGCAGUCGGGAAUCUUGCACAAUGGGCGAAAGCCUGAUGCAGCAACACCGUGUGAGC
Molecule: ribosomal RNA, 386 nt
Filed under: uncultured bacterium
Lineage: Bacteria
Description: bacterial SSU rRNA
Rfam family: Bacterial small subunit ribosomal RNA
Source: RNAcentral